AUUGAACGCUGGCGGCAUGCUUUACACAUGCAAGUCGAACGGUAACAGGCCUUCGGGUGCUGACGAGUGGCGAACGGGUGAGUAAUGCAUCGGAACGUGCCCAGAGGUGGGGGAUAACGCAGCGAAAGCUGUGCUAAUACCGCAUGUGAUCUGAGGAUGAAAGCGGGGGACCAGGCAGCAAUGUUUGGCCUCGCGCCUUUGGAGCGGCCGAUGUCAGAUUAGGUAGUUGGUGGGGUAAAGGCCUACCAAGCCGACGAUCUGUAGCUGGUCUGAGAGGACGACCAGCCACACUGGGACUGAGACACGGCCCAGACUCCUACGGGAGGCAGCAGUGGGGAAUUUUGGACAAUGGGCGCAAGCCUGAUCCAGCAAUGUCGCGUGCGGGAAGAAGGCCUUCGGGUUGUAAACCGCUUUUGUACGGAACGAAAAGGCUCUGGCUAAUACCUGGGGCUGAUGACGGUACCGUAAGAAUAAGCACCGGCUAACUACGUG
Molecule: ribosomal RNA, 492 nt
Filed under: uncultured bacterium
Lineage: Bacteria
Description: partial 16S ribosomal RNA
Rfam family: Bacterial small subunit ribosomal RNA
Source: RNAcentral